RNAcentral lists this unclassified non-coding RNA (216 nucleotides) under uncultured Hygrophoraceae. Its description in RNAcentral is "sequence contains ITS2". The record is from RNAcentral. Lineage: Eukaryota; Fungi; Basidiomycota; Agaricomycetes; Agaricales; Hygrophoraceae.
AAUUUCUCAACCCCCUCUUCAGUUUUUCUGAAGGGGGUGGCUUGGAUGAUGGAGGUGUUGCCGGCUUGAUCAAAGUCAGCUCCUCUUAAAUGCAUUAGCGGAACCUUUGCAUUGACUUUGUUUCUGGUGUGAUAAAUUAUCUGCGCCGUUCCAGUCAUAGUUCAGCUUCUAAAUCUGUUUAUGGUCCUUUUUCCAAGGACAGAAACACUUUUUAAA